Molecule: ribosomal RNA, 274 nt
Filed under: uncultured bacterium
Lineage: Bacteria
Description: partial 16S ribosomal RNA
Rfam family: Bacterial small subunit ribosomal RNA
Source: RNAcentral
AUACGGAGGGGACUAGCGUUGUUCGGAAUUACUGGGCGUAAAGAGUUCGUAGGCGGACUGAUAAGUAAGAGGUGAAAUCCCAGGGCUCAACCCUGGAACUGCCUUUUAAACUGUCAGUCUAGAGACCGGAAGAGGUUAGGGGAAUACCUAGUGUAGAGGUGAAAUUCGUAGAUAUUAGGUGGAACACCAGUGGCGAAGGCGCCUAACUAGUCCGGUACUGACGCUGAGGAACGAAAGCGUGGGGAGCAAACAGGAUUAGAAACCCCAGUAGUCC